GGCCAGACUCCUACGGGAGGCAGCAGUAGGGAAUUUUUGGCAAUGGGGGGAACCCUGACCGAGCAACGCCGCGUGAACGAAGAAGUUCUUCGUAAUGUAAAGUUCUUUUAUCAGGGAAGAAAGAGGAAUUUGACGGUACCUGAGGAAUAAGCUCCGGCUAACUACGUGCCAGCAGCCGCGGUAAUACGUAGGGAGCAAGCGUUGUCCGGAAUUACUGGGCGUAAAGGGCGCGUAGGUGGGCGCUUAAGUCAGGUGUGAAAACUCCGGGCUCAACCUGGAGACUGCACUUGAAACUGGGUGUCUUGAGGGCAGGAGAGGAAAGUGGAAUUCCUAGUGUAGCGGUGAAAUGCGUAGAUAUUAGGAGGAACACCAGUGGCGAAGGCGACUUUCUGGACUGUACCUGACGCUGAGGCGCGAAAGCGUGGGUAGCGAACGGGAUUAGAUACCCGAGUACC
RNAcentral lists this ribosomal RNA (455 nucleotides) under uncultured bacterium. RNAcentral's name for it is "bacterial SSU rRNA". It matches the Rfam family "Bacterial small subunit ribosomal RNA", at positions 329 to 795 of the family's 1533-position model. The record is from RNAcentral.